Molecule: long non-coding RNA, 1964 nt
Organism: Astatotilapia calliptera (eastern happy)
Lineage: Eukaryota; Metazoa; Chordata; Actinopteri; Cichliformes; Cichlidae
Source: Ensembl
UUCUUAAUCACAGUAUGAUGUUACUUUGUUGACGUAAUUUACGACAUAACGACAUAACGGUAUCUCACUGACAUAACUGUCGCCAGUGAGAUACCGUAAAAAAGGCUACGGUGCGUUACCAUAAUUUGUCCAAGAGUAUUAUACCACACCAGCAAAAAACGGUAUCAUCCUGCAGAAAGGUAAGCUACCGUAACACGGCGUCACGGUAUGACGCUGGCAGCAGUGACGCCAGUAUGUUACCGUAAAGUGGCGAUGAAAAGUCUAACGGUGCAGAUACACGGAGUAAUCAGAAAAGUUUAGCAUGAAUCUGGACAUUAGAUUUAAGAUUUAAGUUUUAAGCUUAUCAGAUAUCACUUGUUAGAAGCUCCUUACCGUUUGAAGAAAUCUCUUCUCAAUCUGCUGUCCUCUUCUGCUUGCAUCUUUUUUUUUUCAUCUAACACUGACGUUAUUUUUUCUCCGUGAAAAACACAGCAACUCAUCUUAUCCCGGGGUGCCAGGAAGUCGAGCUGCGGAUCUCAGCAGAAAACUUUUCAAACUGAUUGCAGGUUGAUCCAGGUAUACAUUUGAAACAGGUUCUCCUCGGUGACGUGACAGUCGGAACGCAUCUGCGUAACCAUGGUUACAGGGGGACGCUUUGGAGCUCUGCUGCUCAGCAGCAAAAUAUUUCAGAUCAAUAUGUAAAUACUCCAACUCUAAAACCAAGUAAAAUAAAUAUGCUGCAUAUGUGUAUAGUGCGUUCAUGUGUGUGUGCGCUGCGUGGUGACGUAGGCGCGUGCAUGUGUGCCCCGGUCACAGCUCCUUUCAGCAUGGCCGGAGGUAAGUCACUGCCACGUUGCUCUCAGCUAAUUAAAGUUUGUUCAGAUCCCAAGCUGCAAUGUGAAUACAGCCAAACCGCCGCGUUUUUGUUUGUCAUUAAGAGACUCAUUCGGGAUAAGUUUUGUGGAGGGCGGAGUUCACUAAUAUACGCUUAUGAGUUUUAGCCGAGAACGCAGCUAAAAUGCUAGCAUGCUAAGUUAGCCUGAUUGCUAGCGGCUACUCGCGGCAGUCUUUUUUUAACAGCAUGCACUCUUUUUUCCUUCGUCAGGAGAGGUGUACUGGCAGUCGCGUGACACACACAGAUCAGACACAUGUUUCUGUGUUGCAGAUGUGCAGUAAAGAGCCAAAGACCCAGUACUGUCUCCUGCCUCUUACUUUCACGCCAGAACACAACGCAAGAACAACAGGCGUAACACAUGAACGAGUUACACAUACUGAGGUGAGUUGUUGAGGAUAUGUCGAGCUGUUGAUGGGCACGGCUGUUUUUGUGCUCUUAUAUACUGUUAGCCUGUUUUGCUGGCGUUAGUGAAGCUGUUUUCAACUGGAUGUAACAUUGUUGAACUCUGAUGAUUAAUGAAUAAACUCUCGAUGUGACGAUGUGAGCAUGUAAUUGUAACCCUGUGUUCAUUUAGUCGUUUGAUACCGUUUAAUAUCCAGUACAUCUAUUGGGUGUUUUAUAACAUGCCCUGGAAUCAUUUUAAGUUUUACAAUGCCGGUGAUUUACGACUCUUUCGCGACAGUCAACUGUGGCGUAAACUCUGGCGGGUCUCAGAGCUAGCUUAUGUGAGCCAGCAGUGACAUCUAUACAUGCAGUAGCCUUAAAAUACUGAUUAUUUAUUCUCCUGCUAGGUAAGAAUUUGUGUUUUAUACGUUUAUUGUCACAUUGUGCGCCAUGUUAUUGUUUCGGUGAAAUGAAUUUCUACAAUGGCGGACUUAGACAAAAUAGUGUUACUGUUAAUUUGACUCUCUGCAGUGUUUAAAUGCUUACAUAUACACACACAGUUACUGUCCCGCCACACGUAGGACUCAGUUCUGCUUCUAUGCCCCAUCUUUGUUUACUCUUUCCCACCCAACAAGUGCAUAAAUAAGAUGUUAAAAACGUCAUCAUCAUAUCAAACAUGAUCGAUUUGGGGGGAGUUUGUUUGGCA